CAGCACCUCAAGUGGUCAGGAUGAUUAUUGGGCCUAAAGCAUCCGUAGCCUGCUUUGUUAGUUUUCGGUUAAAUCCAUACGCUCAACGUAUGGGCUGCCGGGAAUACUGCAAAGCUAGGGAGUGGGAGAGGUAGACGGUACUCGGUAGGAAGGGGUAAAAUCCUUUGAUCUAUUGAUGACCACCUGUGGCGAAGGCGGUCUACCAGAACACGUCCGACGGUGAGGGAUGAAAGCUGGGGGAGCAAACCGGAUUAGAGACCCGCGUAGUCC
Molecule: ribosomal RNA, 270 nt
Filed under: uncultured archaeon
Lineage: Archaea
Description: partial 16S ribosomal RNA
Rfam family: Archaeal small subunit ribosomal RNA
Source: RNAcentral